UCGGUCCUGAGUACAGUGGCGCACGGGUGAGUAACACGUGAAUCAUCUACCUUCGAGUGGGGAAUAACUGAGAGAAAUCUUAGCUAAUACCGCAUAAUACCUACGGGUCAAAGCAGUAAUGCGCUUGAAGAGGAGUUCGCGGCAGAUUAGUUAGUUGGCGGGGUAAUGGCCCACCAAGACGAUGAUCUGUAUCCGGCCUGAGAGGGCGCACGGACACACUGGAACUGAAACACGGUCCAGACUCCUACGGGAGGCAGCAGUGGGGAAUUUUGCGCAAUGGGGGAAACCCUGACGCAGCAACGCCGCGUGGAGGAUGAAAUAUCUUGGUAUGUAAACUCCUUUCGAUGGGGAAGAUAAUGACGGUACCCAUAGAAGAAGCCCCGGCUAACUUCGUGCCAGCAGCCGCGGUAAUACGAGGGGGGCAAGCGUUGUUCGGAAUUAUUGGGCGUAAAGGGUGCGUAGGCGGUUUGACAAGUCUCACGUGAAAUCUUCGGGCUCAACCCGAAGUCUGCAUGGGAAACUGUCGGGCUUGAGUAUGGGAGAGGUGAGUGGAAUUUCCGGUGUAGCGGUGAAAUGCGUAGAUAUCGGAAGGAACACCUGUGGCGAAAGCGGCUCACUGGACCAUAACUGACGCUGAUGCACGAAAGCUAGGGGAGCAAACAGGAUUAGAUACCCUGGUAGUCCUAGCCCUAAACGAUGAUUGUUUGAUGUGGGGGGUACCCAAUCCUCCCGUGUCGAAGCUAACGCGAUAAACAAUCCGCCUGGGGAGUACGGUCGCAAGGCU
RNAcentral lists this ribosomal RNA (784 nucleotides) under uncultured bacterium. RNAcentral describes it as "bacterial SSU rRNA". It matches the Rfam family "Bacterial small subunit ribosomal RNA", at positions 80 to 895 of the family's 1533-position model. The record is from RNAcentral.